UGCCAGCAGCCGCGGUAAUACGGAGGGGGUUAGCGUUGUUCGGAAUUACUGGGCGUAAAGCGCACGUAGGCGGAUUAGUAAGUUGGAGGUGAAAUCCCAGGGCUCAACCUAGGAAUUGCUUUUAAAACUUCUGUUCUGGAAUUAAGGAGAGGAAAAUGGAAUAUCCAGUGUAGAGGUGAAAUUCGUAGAUAUUGGAUGGAACACCAGUGGCGAAGGCGAUUUUCUGGACUUAUAUUGACGCUGAGAUGCGAAGGCAUGGGUAGCAAAUGGGAUUAGAUA
RNAcentral lists this ribosomal RNA (279 nucleotides) under uncultured bacterium. RNAcentral describes it as "partial 16S ribosomal RNA". It matches the Rfam family "Bacterial small subunit ribosomal RNA", at positions 506 to 784 of the family's 1533-position model. The record is from RNAcentral.